Molecule: small nuclear RNA, 22 nt
Filed under: Arabidopsis thaliana (thale cress)
Lineage: Eukaryota; Viridiplantae; Streptophyta; Magnoliopsida; Brassicales; Brassicaceae
Description: snRNA_10247
Source: RNAcentral
GCAAAUUCAAGCCUAAUGACCU